Molecule: long non-coding RNA, 376 nt
Filed under: Olea europaea (common olive)
Lineage: Eukaryota; Viridiplantae; Streptophyta; Magnoliopsida; Lamiales; Oleaceae
Description: long non-coding RNA (OEUR_LNC007273)
Source: RNAcentral
ACCAGAAGCAGAACUAUACCCAGCUCCAGUAGAAGUUCUCGGAAUACUGAGAACAGUUGUUUGCUGCACAUAUAUAUUAUCCGAGAAUUCUGGUACUACAUUAUCUAAUUGCCCAUUCACAAUAUCAUCUAAUAUAUUAUGUUCAUCGUCCACUAGCAAUGACAAACUUUUAUAACAUGAUGUCUGUAAUUCUUCUUCUGUAGGCUGCAACAUCGCAAUUACUUGGAUCUGUAAUUACAAUUAAACAUAAAAAUCAUUUCGUUAAAUUUAAUUUUUAAAUAAUUAAAUGCAAAUAUAUUUGAGCAUUCAUGAAAAAAACAUAUCUUUUGAGCAGCCAAAAAUUGUUUAACCAUUUUUUCGUUCAAUAUUUUAUUAG